Long non-coding RNA from Coffea eugenioides, 610 nucleotides. RefSeq lists it as uncharacterized. The record is from RefSeq and is a predicted model, not a curated record. Lineage: Eukaryota; Viridiplantae; Streptophyta; Magnoliopsida; Gentianales; Rubiaceae. The transcript is spliced from 2 exons.
ACUAUGAUCCGAAGCACAGUUUAGACGCACAGCAAAAGUUCAGCUGUGAGUUGUAUUCCAUUCUACAUUUUGGACUUCAUCAUUGAGUUUUUACAAUCCUUAUAACUGGAGUAAAGGAGGGGGGAUCAAGAAUUCUGAGACAUGACUGAUUGGAUUUGGAUCCUGAUGCUCCAAAUCGUUCUUCUGCCAGCCCAGGUGUGCAGAAAACUGUGGAAUCAUCUUCGGCUGGAAACCAUGAAAUAUGAGAUGCGUGAUCUGAACCAGCAGUAUGUUCUUCCGGACAAUGUAUUACAGAGGAUGUAUUCAUAUGAUUAGUAUAGUUAAGUAACUAAGGAUUUAGACUUUUGUCUGGUACGCCAAACAGAAAAGUUGUAAACGUUAUCUCUACUCAUCCCUAGGAAAAAGAAGGGGGAGUGGGAUUUAUGAGUACUGAUUCAUGGUCCCUUAUUAUGUCCUGACUUCCGAGUGUUAUUUGACAGUAGGACCCUCUGUUCCUUCUAUGUAUGCCCUUGUUCACAAUGCAAUAAAUUACACACGAUUUCCUUGUAGCUGAUUGGAAAGCUCGUCUUUUCCUUCUUUAAUAAAGCUAAUCAAAGGCUUUGAGCUGGUC